CCUACGGGGGGCAGCAGUAGGGAAUCUUCCGCAAUGGACGAAAGUCUGACGGAGCAACGCCGCGUGAGUGAUGAAGGUUUUCGGAUCGUAAAACUCUGUUGUUAGGGAAGAACAAGUACCGUUCGAAUAGGGCGGUACCUUGACGGUACCUAACCAGAAAGCCACGGCUAACUACGUGCCAGCAGCCGCGGUAAUACGUAGGUGGCAAGCGUUGUCCGGAAUUAUUGGGCGUAAAGCGCGCGCAGGCGGUUUCUUAAGUCUGAUGUGAAAGCCCCCGGCUCAACCGGGGAGGGUCAUUGGAAACUGGGGAACUUGAGUGCAGAAGAGGAGAGUGGAAUUCCACGUGUAGCGGUGAAAUGCGUAGAGAUGUGGAGGAACACCAGUGGCGAAGGCGACUCUCUGGUCUGUAACUGACGCUGAGGCGCGAAAGCGUGGGGAGCUGAAC
This 445-nucleotide ribosomal RNA is filed under the name Bacillus licheniformis. RNAcentral's name for it is "bacterial SSU rRNA". It matches the Rfam family "Bacterial small subunit ribosomal RNA", at positions 338 to 774 of the family's 1533-position model. Lineage: Bacteria; Bacillati; Bacillota; Bacilli; Caryophanales; Bacillaceae. The record is from RNAcentral.